RNAcentral lists this ribosomal RNA (245 nucleotides) under uncultured bacterium. RNAcentral's name for it is "partial small subunit ribosomal RNA". It matches the Rfam family "Bacterial small subunit ribosomal RNA", at positions 26 to 285 of the family's 1533-position model. The record is from RNAcentral.
AGAAUCAACGCUGGCGGCGUGCCUAACACAUGCAAGUCGAACGAGAAAGUGGAGCAAUCCAUGAGUAAAGUGGCGCACGGGUGAGUAACACGUGACUAACCUACCCUUGAGUGGGGGAUAACCUAGAGAAAUCUGGGCUAAUACCGCAUAAUACCUUCGGGUCAAAGGAGCAAUUCGCUUAAGGAGGGGGUCGCGGCCAAUUAGUUAGUUGGCGGGGUAAUGGCCCACCAAGACUAUGAUCGGUA